CGGGGCCGCCCGGCAGGGAGGGACGGAGCGGGGCGGGGCCGGGCCGUGACGGGGACCGCGAGCUGCGUGUUAGCGAGCAGAAAUCCUGAAUGCACAGAAAUUACGAUACUCCUCGUUUGACUGUGAGGAGUGAGAGAGUCCAUGUUCUGAAAUCAGAGGAAAGACCACCCAAUCUUUCAGAGAGUAGGAGAAUGUCCUCAAUAAUUCUUCAGAAAAAUUAUACACUUUGUAAGUGCAAAGUUUAGCAUUUCCUUACAAUGGGUAGGGAUGUGAAAAUCCAUCUUAUCUUCCACACAUAAACCAAUAAGAUCUCACAGCCACAAUUAAGUGACUGUUUCUGUUGGUAAGGCCUCUGUCCCUGACAGCUUGAUGGCCUCCUCUGGACUGUGGUGUCAGUGCCUAUAUCAGACAGGCAUCAGGGAGCUUGAGCUGGUCCUAGCACUCACAGGUGGGUUCUUAACAGUGCAGAGUAAAAGGUGAGGUUCCUCACCCCAUUGGCUGCACUAAUGGUGACACAACCCUGAAUGUCCUUUGUCACAGGGUGCUCAGUUGGGGUCCUACUCAACCUAUUGGGACCAUAGCACCUCUUCCACCAAAUUGCUUUCAAGGCAGCACCCCAUGUCCUGCUGAAUUUGAGUUACUCCCUCCCAGACCCAGAACUAUCUUUGACCACCUGCAUUUGUCUUUGCUGAGUUUCCUGAGGGUUUUGUCCACCUUCCUGUAGGACCUCAGUCCCUACUGCUGAUGAACUCAACAACAUGAAGCUGGUCCUGGCACUGGGGAGCCACAGUGACCAUUUCUCCAUGGAAGCAUUUUUGGUAGUGUGGAUGUUUACUUGUUUUGGGAUAGACACAGCCCCGAGCAAGUAUCACACCAUGACUGUGGAAUAGUCAUCAGGUGUCAUCAGCACCCAUUAGCUCCUAAGCAAUUGUCAGUCUUUAACUAUGGCUUAAUGCUUCUGACUGACUUAAGGCUGUGUAAAGAUUUAUAAAUGCAGGAGUAGUUUGUUUUCACAUAAUUUUUCUUUACUGAUGUUAAAGCACUUUGUAAGUACUAUAAAGUCAAUCUUAUUCUUCUGGAGCAUUUUGUUAGUUGGGUAAUUAUUCCAGGAAGUGCUUUAUAUUUUAAAAUAUUACUUCUUGUCCUGAAAUUGUCAUCCCUAGAAGGAGAAAUUUUGUUGCACUGCCUUGUAAGGAGAGCCUGAAUUCAUUUCACUCAUGAAGAUAAUGGUAUAGUGUCGGAGUGUAUCUAUUUCUAAUUGACUUUAAAAUCAGAAUUGGUUCCUUUGAUUUAGGAUUUAGAAAAAUACCAGUAGGAAAAGAUAGAUUACUUCCUGUUAUCUGCAGAGGGAAUUAAUGAACCUUUCAGGUUGGCAAGAAACUAUUAUUAUUUCCAAGUAAUCUAAUUAAAGGGUAUAACAAAGACAUGCAGCUAUUUAAUUAUUUUAUUACCCAAUUGCUCUACAGUGCAUAAUCAGAGAAGUGUGAGGGAGUGAUUAGGUGUCUUGAGAACGGAAAUGACACAACCAAGAUGUGUAGAUCUUUUAAAGGACGGAGAAGCUGCUGGGAAAAUUGUGCUUCUCUUCCCCACACGCAAGACUGAAGAUUAUUUUUCCCUGGGAGUGAAGAACAUGACAAUGUAAAUGUGCUGGGGGGUUUUCAGAAGCAGAUAUAAGAUGCUGGUGCUGGGAAAGGUAAAACACACCAGGCUGUGCUUAACUGGUGGCUCUGUUCAGCUCUUGUCUCCACAGGGGCCUUGCAAGCAGGGUAAGCUGGGCCCAUGGGAGGCACCACAGCAGAUCUGUAGGGUGUCCACAGGCACCAAUUGGAUCCCAGUUACAGCUUUGCCCUCUGGAUGAUGCAUUGAGGAUGCAUGACGGGAGCAGAUGCUCACUGUCAGUGUGAGUUGGAUGCCUGCUUCUGCCAGGCUCUUUAAGAAGAGUUUUUGACAUGCAGAUGUUUGUAGACACAGAACUUUUUGUUUAGACCCAGGUUUAUUCCAGUCCCACCCUGAUCACAUCCCUCAUUUAUACAGUUGUGAAUUAUCUACAUCUGAAAGGCUGACUCAUCCUCUGAGUGGUUUGCCUCCUUGCAAAUUACUCUGGUAUAAAUCAGCUUGUAUUUCAGUUCAGAACAGGUGCUGAUAAAAAUCCAUGUAAUGUCAAAAAUAAUACAAAGGGGGGAGAUAUGAUUUAAAUACCUGGAGUUUGAUCCAAAGCCAAAUAGAGCUAAUGAACUGGUUUCCAUUAAUAACUCUUUAAUAGUCUUUAUCGGCUUUAGGGGUCUGUACCUUCCUUACCUUCUGUAGCACCUUGUAAUAGGAUACCUGAAUGUCCUUCACUAAAAAUUAAAACCCCAUGCAA
Non-coding RNA from Cyanistes caeruleus (blue tit), 2362 nucleotides. The record is from RefSeq and is a predicted model, not a curated record. NCBI's taxonomy places the organism in Eukaryota, Metazoa, Chordata, Aves, Passeriformes, Paridae.